Molecule: ribosomal RNA, 404 nt
Filed under: uncultured eukaryote
Lineage: Eukaryota
Description: SSU rRNA
Rfam family: Eukaryotic small subunit ribosomal RNA
Source: RNAcentral
GCAGCCGCGGUAAUUCCAGCUCCAAAAGCGUAUACUAAAGUUGUUGCAGUUAAAAAGCUCGUAGUUGAACUUCUGUACAGUCUCACUUCUGGCUUCGGUCAAGGUGUUGGCUGUGCAUCCGCUUGCAAAGCUGGUUCGGCCUUAACUGGUCGGCUAGUAGAGUAAGCCCUUUACUUUGAAAAAAUUAGAGUGUUUCAGGCAGGCAAUGGCUCGAAUACAUUAGCAUGGAAUAAUGGAAUAGGACUUUUGUCCAUUUGGUUGGUUCUUGGACUUAAGUAAUGAUUAAAAGGGACAGUUGGGGGCAUUGGUAUUUAACAGUCAGAGGUGAAAUUCUUGGAUUUGUUAAAGACUAACUUAUGCGAAAGCAUCUGCCAAGGAUGUUUUCAUUGAUCAAGAACGAAAGU